AAAUUGAAGAGUUUGAUCAUGGCUCAGAUUGAACGCUGGCGGCAGGCCUAACACAUGCAAGUCGAACGGUAACAGGAAGCAGCUUGCUGCUUCGCUGACGAGUGGCGGACGGGUGAGUAAUGUCUGGGAAACUGCCUGAUGGAGGGGGAUAACUACUGGAAACGGUGGCUAAUACCGCAUAACGUCGCAAGACCAAAGAGGGGGACCUUCGGGCCUCUUGCCAUCAGAUGUGCCCAGAUGGGAUUAGCUUGUUGGUGAGGUAACGGCUCACCAAGGCGACGAUCCCUAGCUGGUCUGAGAGGAUGACCAGCCACACUGGAACUGAGACACGGUCCAGACUCCUACGGGAGGCAGCAGUGGGGAAUAUUGCACAAUGGGCGCAAGCCUGAUGCAGCCAUGCCGCGUGUAUGAAGAAGGCCUUCGGGUUGUAAAGUACUUUCAGCAGGGAGGAAGGUGUUGUGGUUAAUAACCGCAGCAAUUGACGUUACCCGCAG
This 494-nucleotide ribosomal RNA is filed under the name Salmonella enterica. Its description in RNAcentral is "bacterial SSU rRNA". It matches the Rfam family "Bacterial small subunit ribosomal RNA", at positions 1 to 484 of the family's 1533-position model. Lineage: Bacteria; Pseudomonadati; Pseudomonadota; Gammaproteobacteria; Enterobacterales; Enterobacteriaceae. The record is from RNAcentral. RNAcentral also lists the same sequence under 1 other name.